Carassius auratus (goldfish) is the source of this 1527-nucleotide long non-coding RNA. RefSeq lists it as uncharacterized. The transcript is spliced from 3 exons. NCBI's taxonomy places the organism in Eukaryota, Metazoa, Chordata, Actinopteri, Cypriniformes, Cyprinidae. The record is from RefSeq and is a predicted model, not a curated record.
UACUGGAGUAAUAUUUUACUAUAGGUAUCUGUACUUUUACUCAAGUACUUGAUUUGUGUACUUCGUCCACCACUGGUUAAACAUACAGUAUGUUUUUAGUGCAGGGACCUAUUUUAUCAAGUAAACGAAUACUCGAUAGCCCGGCCCUCGUCCAUAACUCACAAAAAUCUCUCAGGCAGGUUUUUAGAUUACAAUAUUAGGAUUUCACAUCUAAAUUAAUAACAUUUUUGUUGGCUAACUAACAUGGUUGACACUUUGAGAUGGAUAUCAUAAUUAAUAUAAAUGACUGCUGCAAUAAAGGUUAUUUUAUGGUAUGCUAUAAAUUGUUUUUUAAAGUGAAUGUUGGUUAAUUUUCUAGUAUUUACCAUACAUUUUGGAAAAAAUUUAAAAGUCUUUUUUCCAAAAAGGUACAUCUUAAAAGGGGGUAAUAUUAUAAAUAGCAUUGUCUUUAAUUUGGAAGCGUACAGUAAACUGUUACUUAAAAUCAUUAAUUGUUGCUGUUAUUUAUGCCUAAUUUCUGCUCGUUCUCUCUUUACAGUGACAUUUGCUGUACAUUUGGAAUUCCAAAGCCUGUUCAGACAAAUUACGAGCUAAGUCAGUCCCCAACAAAGGCAGUUAGCCUUGUAGAAGUCGGUGAAUUAACUGAUGAAUACCCCUUGGCUGACUAUUUGAUUGGACAUGUGCAGAUGGUAACGUUAAAGAGAUUUUUCUGCUGCAAAGGAUGACAUUGAUGCAGCUUGUGAACUUGCCAUCAGAGGACUGUGUAUCUAUCUUAAUGAGGACUCUAAAGAUCUCAUUCAGGAGUAUGCGGACAUGGAAGAAGAUCUUUUACAGUGUGCGAUUGAGAAGACUACCAUGGGCAUCUUCGUGAUAAAGCACACUGCAGACAAUGAAGCCCAUGAUGUAGGCAUUGUGCUAGAGGGUGUAGCAGUGCUUCAGGACAUCGACAGUGUGGAUUUUGCAACUUCAAUGUUUUUGGUCUAAUUUAUGCUCUUAACCUGCAGUACCCCACAAAGUUGCGUUUUACAUAUGAAAUUUAGCAAAAACUCAUCAUGGACUUGGAUGCGGGUGAAUUCUCGAUCAAGGCCCAAAAUUUCAAAUCUGAACUCCACCAGUGAGAUGGACUGAUUUUUGAAUGACUACUGAGACUACAAACAAUCAACCUCGGAAAAUUUCAGCAGCCUUCAUGCAAGACCACUGCAGAGGGUAAACCGUGAUCUUGUUGUUUAGACUGUUCCCCUUUGCCUGCUCUCGUUUCUUUAUCUUUUUUUUUCUGUCUGAAUUUGGCCCUUCGUUGGACUGGCUCAGAAGUUGAUUGAUUAGAGAGCUGAAUCUAUGAAACAUGGUUGAACUAGCAUAAAUAAGAUACUUUGUUUAUAGUUUAGGUAAGGGUCAGAUACUGUAUUUUCACAUUGUUUUGUAAUGUCUAUAUAUAAUUAUCUUUGAAACUAAAGCGUUUUUCUUGAAAUAACAUUUCCAGGUAGGGCUGCACGAUAUUGGGAAAAAAUGACAUUGCGAUAUUUUAUU